Molecule: ribosomal RNA, 866 nt
Filed under: Hantamomyces aloidendri
Lineage: Eukaryota; Fungi; Ascomycota; Sordariomycetes; Hypocreales; Ophiocordycipitaceae
Description: partial large subunit ribosomal RNA
Rfam family: Eukaryotic large subunit ribosomal RNA
Source: RNAcentral
GAAACCAACAGGGAUUGCCCCAGUAACGGCGAGUGAAGCGGCAACAGCUCAAAUUUGAAAUCUGGCGCCCUCGGGCGCCCGAGUUGUAAUUUGCAGAGGAAGCCUUUGGCAGAGCGCCGCCCGAGUCCCCUGGAACGGGGCGCCGGAGAGGGUGAGAGCCCCGUACGGUCGGACGCCGAGCCUGUGUAAGGCCCCUUCGAAGAGUCGAGUAGUUUGGGAAUGCUGCUCUAAGCGGGAGGUGUACCCCUUCUAAAGCUAAAUACCGGCCAGAGACCGAUAGCGCACAAGUAGAGUGAUCGAAAGAUGAAAAGCACUUUGGAAAGAGGGUCAAAUAGUACGUGAAAUUGCUGAAAGGGAAGCGCCUGUGACCAGACUCGCGCCCGGCGGAUCACCCGGCUCCGGCCGGGGCACUCCGUCGGGCUCGGGCCAGCGCCGGCUCGCCGCGGGGGUCAAAGGCGUCGGGAACGUGGCUCCCCCGGGAGUGUUAUAGCCCGGCGCGCAAUACCCCGCGACGGGCCGAGGCCCGCGCAUCAUGCAAGGGCGCUGGCGUAAUGGUCAUCGGCGGCCCGUCUUGAAACACGGACCAAGGAGUCGUCCUCGCGCGCGAGUGUUCGGGUGUCAAAACCCCUACGCGUAAUGAAAGUGAACGCAGGUGGGAGCCUCGGCGCACCACCGACCGAUCCUGAUGUCCUCGGAUGGAUUUGAGUAAGAGCGCGCGGGGCCGGACCCGAAAGAAGGUGAACUAUGCGUGUGUAGGGUGAAGCCAGAGGAAACUCUGGUGGAGGCUCGCAGCGGUUCUGACGUGCAAAUCGAUCGUCAAACAUGCGCAUGGGGGCGAAAGACUAAUCGAACCUUUCUAGUAGCUG